RNAcentral lists this ribosomal RNA (873 nucleotides) under Kluyvera intermedia. Its description in RNAcentral is "bacterial SSU rRNA". It matches the Rfam family "Bacterial small subunit ribosomal RNA", at positions 1 to 863 of the family's 1533-position model. The record is from RNAcentral. Lineage: Bacteria; Pseudomonadati; Pseudomonadota; Gammaproteobacteria; Enterobacterales; Enterobacteriaceae.
AAAUUGAAGAGUUUGAUCAUGGCUCAGAUUGAACGCUGGCGGCAGGCCUAACACAUGCAAGUCGAACGGUAGCACAGAGGAGCUUGCUCCUCGGGUGACGAGUGGCGGACGGGUGAGUAAUGUCUGGGAAACUGCCCGAUGGAGGGGGAUAACUACUGGAAACGGUAGCUAAUACCGCAUAACGUCGCAAGACCAAAGAGGGGGACCUUCGGGCCUCUUGUCAUCGGAUGUGCCCAGAUGGGAUUAGCUAGUAGGUGGGGUAAUGGCUCACCUAGGCGACGAUCCCUAGCUGGUCUGAGAGGAUGACCAGCCACACUGGAACUGAGACACGGUCCAGACUCCUACGGGAGGCAGCAGUGGGGAAUAUUGCACAAUGGGCGCAAGCCUGAUGCAGCCAUGCCGCGUGUGUGAAGAAGGCCUUCGGGUUGUAAAGCACUUUCAGCGGGGAGGAAGGCAGUACGGUUAAUAACCGUGUUGAUUGACGUUACCCGCAGAAGAAGCACCGGCUAACUCCGUGCCAGCAGCCGCGGUAAUACGGAGGGUGCAAGCGUUAAUCGGAAUUACUGGGCGUAAAGCGCACGCAGGCGGUCUGUCAAGUCGGAUGUGAAAUCCCCGGGCUCAACCUGGGAACUGCAUUCGAAACUGGCAGGCUUGAGUCUUGUAGAGGGGGGUAGAAUUCCAGGUGUAGCGGUGAAAUGCGUAGAGAUCUGGAGGAAUACCGGUGGCGAAGGCGGCCCCCUGGACAAAGACUGACGCUCAGGUGCGAAAGCGUGGGGAGCAAACAGGAUUAGAUACCCUGGUAGUCCACGCCGUAAACGAUGUCGAUUUGGAGGUUGUGCCCUUGAGGCGUGGCUUCCGGAGCUAACGCGUUAA